GCCAGGUGAGGUGGUGCAUGCCUGUAAUCCCAGCAGCUCAGGAGGCUGAGGCAGGAGGAUUGCAAGUUCGAGGUUAACCUCAGCAAUUUAGUGGCCUUAAGCAACUUAGUGAGACCCUGUCUCAA
RNAcentral lists this small RNA (125 nucleotides) under Marmota monax (woodchuck). The record is from RNAcentral. Lineage: Eukaryota; Metazoa; Chordata; Mammalia; Rodentia; Sciuridae.